AACGAACGCUGGCGGCAUGCCUAACACAUGCAAGUCGAACGAGGCCUUCGGGUCUAGUGGCGCACGGGUGCGUAACGCGUGGGAAUCUGCCCUUCGGUUGGGAAUAACUGAGAGAAAUUUCAGCUAAUACCUUAUAAUGUCUUCGGACCAAAGAUUUAUCGCCGAGGGAUGAGCCCGCGUAGGAUUAGGUAGUUGGUGGGGUAAUGGCCUACCAAGCCGACGAUCCUCAGCUGGUCUGAGAGGAUGAUCAGCCACACUGGGACUGAGACACGGCCCAGACUCCUACGGGAGGCAGCAGUGGGGAAUAUUGGACAAUGGGCGAAAGCCUGAUCCAGCAAUGCCGCGUGAGUGAUGAAGGCCUUAGGGUUGUAAAGCUCUUUUACCCGGGAUGAUAAUGACAGUACCGGGAGAAUAAGCUCCGGCUAACUCCGUG
This 433-nucleotide ribosomal RNA is filed under the name uncultured bacterium. Its description in RNAcentral is "partial 16S ribosomal RNA". It matches the Rfam family "Bacterial small subunit ribosomal RNA", at positions 29 to 507 of the family's 1533-position model. The record is from RNAcentral.